AGCAGCCGCGGUAAUUCCAGCUCCAAUAGCGUAUAUUAAAGUUGUUGCAGUUAAAAGCUCGUAGUUGAAUUUCGGGGUUAGUAGGUUGGUCAUGCCUCUGGUAUGUACUGGUCUCACUGAUUCCUCCUUCCUGAUGAACCUUAAUGCCAUUAAUUUGGUGUUUUGGGGAAUUUGGACUGUUACUUUGAAAAAUUGAGUGUUUAAAGCAAGCUAACGCUUGAAUACAUUAGCAUGGAAUAAUGAAAUAGGACGUUCGAUCCUAUUUUGUUGGUUUCUAGGAUUGACGUAAUGAUUAAUAGGGAUAGUUGGGGGCAUUAGUAUUCAAUUGUCAGAGGUGAAAUUCUUGGAUUUAUUGAAGACUAACUACUGCGAAAGCAUUUGCCAAGGAUGUUUUCAUUAAUCAAGAACGAAAGUUAGGGAUCGAAGACGAUCAGAUACCGUCGUAGUCUUAACCAUAAACUAUGCCGACUAGGGAUCGGGAUGAUGUUAAUUUUUUAAUGUACUCAUUCGGCGCCUUACG
This 520-nucleotide unclassified non-coding RNA is filed under the name uncultured Glomus. RNAcentral's name for it is "SSU rRNA". It matches the Rfam family "Eukaryotic small subunit ribosomal RNA", at positions 569 to 1092 of the family's 1831-position model. The record is from RNAcentral. Lineage: Eukaryota; Fungi; Glomeromycota; Glomeromycetes; Glomerales; Glomeraceae.